UCCCAGACUCCUACGGGAGGCAGCAGUGGGGAAUAUUGGGCAAUGGGCGCAAGCCUGACCCAGCAACGCCGCGUGAAGGAAGAAGGCUUUCGGGUUGUAAACUUCUUUUAAGAGGGAAGAGUAGAAGACGGUACCUCUUGAAUAAGCCACGGCUAACUACGUGCCAGCAGCCGCGGUAAUACGUAGGUGGCAAGCGUUGUCCGGAUUUACUGGGUGUAAAGGGCGUGUAGGCGGCGAUGCAAGUCAGAAGUGAAAGCCCGGGGCUCAACUCCGGGACUGCUUUUGAAACUGUGUUGCUAGAUUGCAGGAGAGGUAAGUGGAAUUCCUAGUGUAGCGGUGAAAUGCGUAGAUAUUAGGAGGAACACCAGUGGCGGAGGCGGCUUACUGGACUGUAAAUGACGCUGAGGCUCGAAAGCGUGGGGAGCAAACAGGAUUAGAUACCCCCGUAAAA
This 451-nucleotide ribosomal RNA is filed under the name uncultured bacterium. RNAcentral describes it as "bacterial SSU rRNA". It matches the Rfam family "Bacterial small subunit ribosomal RNA", at positions 329 to 794 of the family's 1533-position model. The record is from RNAcentral.